AUGGAGAAUUCUGGUAACAAGAAUGACCCUUAAGGUCUAUCUCAGAGGAUGUCUCCUCCCUUUGCUAAAGUGAUAUCAUUCUCACAUUUUCUAUAAUCAGGGAGCUUUCAGGACAACCGGGACACAAAGACAAAACAUAGAAUACAAGUGUCUAUUAGACAAAUGUCUAACUAAUAGCAUAUAAAGUCUUCAAAAGACUGGCAAUUUACAGAUGGAAACAUAUCCAGACUCCUGCAGAUGAAGAAACUGAGGCAAACACAGACUUAUCCAAGAUCACCCAGAUAGUGAGUUUCUGCAGCAGCAUUUGAAUUCAAGUCUUCCCGUCUCCAAGUCUAAUAAUCCACGGUACUACCUAGACACCACUGAUGAUAAAAGAUGUUAAAGGCCUGAUGAUAAAGAGGCAGUGCUCAUCAGAAUAAAGAGAAAAAGGUAGAUGAAUGGUAGAGACAGAAUGGACCAAGCUGAAACCACAGGGGCUUCAAAAGAUAACAAAAGCUUCCAGAGGUCCAGUGAUUGGAGGCCAUGAUGGAAUGGACUGCCACUACAGCCAAGCCUAUGAAGAAGUCAGCCCUCAAGAGCAAAC
Molecule: non-coding RNA, 583 nt
Organism: Phascolarctos cinereus (koala)
Lineage: Eukaryota; Metazoa; Chordata; Mammalia; Diprotodontia; Phascolarctidae
Source: RefSeq, a predicted model, not a curated record